RNAcentral lists this ribosomal RNA (372 nucleotides) under Apilactobacillus kunkeei. RNAcentral describes it as "bacterial SSU rRNA". It matches the Rfam family "Bacterial small subunit ribosomal RNA", at positions 211 to 575 of the family's 1533-position model. Lineage: Bacteria; Bacillati; Bacillota; Bacilli; Lactobacillales; Lactobacillaceae. The record is from RNAcentral.
GCUAUCACUUUGGGAUGGACCCGCGCCGUAUUAGUUAGUUGGUGAGAUAAAAGCCCACCAAGACGAUGAUACGUAGCCGACCUGAGAGGGUAAUCGGCCACAUUGGGACUGAGACACGGCCCAGACUCCUACGGGAGGCAGCAGUAGGGAAUCUUCCACAAUGGACGAAAGUCUGAUGGAGCAACGCCGCGUGAGUGAUGAAGGUUUUCGGAUCGUAAAACUCUGUUGUUAAAGAAGAACAAGUGUUAGAGUAACUGUUAACACUUUGACGGUAUUUAACCAGAAAGCCACGGCUAACUACGUGCCAGCAGCCGCGGUAAUACGUAGGUGGCAAGCGUUGUCCGGAUUUAUUGGGCGUAAAGCGAGCGCAGG